AUGGCCAUUUUUACAAUAUUGAUUUUUUCCAAUCCAUGAACAUGGAAUAUCUUUCCAUUUCUUUACAUCUUCUUUAAUUUAUUUGAUUAAAGUUUUAUAGUUCUCGGCAUAUAAGUCCUUUACCUCCUUGGUCAGGUGUAUUCUGACAUAUUUGAUUUUUUGAGGUGCAAUUUUAAAGGGUAUUGUAUUUUUGUAUUCCUUUUCUAAUAUUUCAUUGUUGGUAUACAGAAAUGCGACUGAUUUCUGAAUGUUAAUCUUAUAUCCUGCUAUUUUGCUGAAUUUAUUAAUCAGUUCAAGUAGUUUUUGGGUGGAGUCCUUAGGGUUUUCUAUGUAUAGUAUCAUAUCGUCUGCAUGCAGUGCAGUUGUAUCUCUUCUCUUCCUAUUUAGAUGCCUUUUAUUUCUUUUGUUUGUCUAAUUGCUGUGGCUAGGACUUCUAAAACUAUGUUGAAUAGCAGUGGUUAGAGUGGGCAUCCCUAUCUUGUUCCAGAUUUGAGUGAGAAGGCUUUGUUUUUCUCCGUUGAGUAUUAUAUUUGCUGUGGGUUUGUCAUAAAUGGCUUUAUGUUCAGGAAUGUUGCCUCUUUACCCAUUUUGGCAAGAGUUUUGAUCAUGAAUGGAUGUUGGACUUUGUCAAAUGCUUUGAUCAUAUGGUUUUUGACUUUUCUAUUGUUAAUGUUGUGUAUGACGUUGAUUGAUUUGCAUAUGUUGAACCAUCCUUGUGAACCUGGGAUGAACCCUACCUGGUCAUGGUGUAUGAUCUUUUUGAUAUGUUGUUGGUGAGAAUUUUUGCAUCUAUAUUCAUCAAAGAUACUGGCUGAUAGUUUUCUUUUUUGGUGGUAUCUUUGUCUGAUUUUGGAAUUAGGGUGAUGGUGGCAUCAUAGAAUGUCUUUGGGAGUGUUCCUUCUUCAACCUUUUGAAAAAGCUUAUGGAGGACGGGCACCAGAUUCUCUUUAUAUGUUUGGUAGAAUUCGCCUGUGAAGCCAUCUGGUCCUGGACUUUUAUUUAUAGGGAGUGUUUUUAUGACAUCUUCAAUUUCAUUUCUAGUGAUCUGUCUGUUCAGUUGGUGUGUUUCUCCUUGAUUCAGUUUUGGCAGGCUAUAAGAGUCUAGAAAAUUGUCCAUUUCUUCCAGAUUGUCAAAUUUGUUGGCAUAUAGUUGUUCAUAGUAUUCUCUUAUGGUUUUUUGUAUUUCUGCAGUAUCUAUUGUGAUUUCUCCUUUUUCAUUUCUAAUUUUGUUUAUUUGGGUUCUUUCUCUCCUCUUCUUAGUGAGUCUAGCCAGGGGUUUGUCAAUUUUGUUUACCUUUUCAAAGAACCAGCUCUUGGUUUUAUUAAUUUUCUCUAUUGUUUUUUGAAUCUCUAUUUUAUUGAUUUCCUCUUUGAUCUUUAUAAUUUCUUCUGCUGACUUUAGGUCUUUUUUGUUCUUUUUCUAAUUCAUUUAGGUGGAGGGUUAAGUUGUCGACUUGAGAUCUUUCUUCUUUCUUGAGGAAGGCCUGUAUCGCUGUGAAUUUCCCUCUGAGCACUGCUUUUGUGGCAUCCCAUAGAUUUUGAGAGGUUGUGUCUUCAUUAUCAUUUGUCUCAAGGUUUUUUUUUUUUUUUUUUUUUUUUUUUUUGGUCUUCUUGCUAUUUCUUGGGCUGCUCCCAUGGCAUAUGGAGGUUCCCAGGCUAGGGGUCGAAUCGGAGCUGUAGCUGCCGGCCUACACCAGAGCCACAGCAACGCGGGAUCUGAGCUGCAUCUGCAACCUACACCACAGCUCACGGCAACGCCGGAUCGUUAACCCACUGAGCAAGGGCAGGGAUUGAACCCGCAACCUCAUGGUUCCUAGUCGGAUUCGUUAACCACUGCGCCACAACGGGAACUCCUUUUUUUUCUUUUUCUUUUUUUUUCAAGGUAUUUUUUUAAUUGCCUUCUUGAUUUCCUCAUUGACCCAUUGGUUUUUCAGUAGUAUGUUGUUUAGUCUCCAGGUAGUAGGUUUUUUCUCAUUUCUUUUCCUGUGGUUGAUUUCUAGCUUCAUACCGUUGUAUUCAGAGAAGAUACUUGGAAUAAUUUCUUUGCUCCUAAAUUUGUUGAGGUUAGCUUUGUGACUCAAUAUGUGGUUGAUUCUUGAGAAUGUUCCAUGUGCACUUGAGAAGAAUGUGUAUUCCAAUUUUUUUUGAUGUAGUGUCCUGAAGAUGUCAAUUAAGUCUAACUUUUCUAUUGUUUCCUUUAGGAUCUCUGUUGCUUUAUUGGUUUUCUGUCUAGAGGAUCUGUCCAUUGGUGUGAGUGGGGUAUUAAAGUCUCCUACUAUGAUUGUAUUCCAAUCAAUUUCUCCCUUUAUGUCUGUUAAUAUUUGUUUUAUGUAUCUAGGUGCUCCUGUAUUUGGGGCAUAUAUGUUGACGAUAGUAAUAUCCUCUUCUUGGAUGGAUCCCUUAAUCAUUAAAUAGUGUCCUUGUCUUUCCUUAUGUCUUUUGUUUUAAAGUCUAUUUUGUCUGAUAUGAGUAUUGCAACUCCUGCUUUCCUGUCAUGUCUAUUGGCAUGAAAUAUUUUUUCCCACCCCUUCACUUUCAAUCUAUAUGUGUCUUUUGUCCUAAGGUGAGUUUCUUAUAGGCAGCAGAUUGAAGGUUUUUGCUUUUUUAUCCACUUAGCCACUCUUGUGUCUUUUUUUUUUUGUCUUUUUUUGUCUUUUGUCUUUUUGUUGUUGUUGUUGCUAUUUCUUGGGCCGCUCCUGCGGCAUAUGGAGUUUUCCAGGCUAGGGGUUGAAUCGGAGCUGUAGCCACCGGCCUACGCCAGAGCCACAGCAACGCAGGAUCCGAGCCGCGUCUGCAACCUACACCACAGCUCACGGCAACGCCGGAUCGUUAACCCACUGAGCAAGGGCAGGGACCGAACCCGCAACCUCAUGGUUCCUAGUCGGAUUCGUUAACCACUGCACCACGACGGGAACUCCCCACUCUUGUGUCUUUUGAUCGGAGCAUUCAGUCCAUUGACAUUUAAGGUGAUAAUUGAUAGAUGAUUAUUUAUGGCCAUUUUAAACCUCGUAUUCCUGUUCAUUCUAUGGUUCUCCAUUCUUCCUUUUUUUGGUUGGAUGGUCUCUGACUAUUUUCUGCUUGAGUGUUUUUUUUUUUUUUUUUUUUUUCAUUUUUUACAAAUGCAAUGUUUGGUUUUGGUUUGUGGUUGCCCUGUUUUUUAAGUAUGCUAACCCCUUCCUAUAAUUGUGUGUUUUAGCCUGAUGGUCCUGUAGGUUCAAACACUUCAUUACUAUACUACAAUUGAGAGAAAAAAACAAAAAAAGUUUUUAAGAGUCUGUUAAUUUCCUUACUUCCCUUGCCCACAUUUUGUGAUUUUGAUGACUCUUUUUUUCUUUUUGUUUUAAACAUAUUCAUGAUUAAAUCUGUAUGCUGGUUUAUUUGAGUGACUGCUCUCUGAUUGUGGUUUCCUCAAUCCUAGUUCUUCCUCCCCCCCCUUCUUUCCUUCCUUUCUUUUUGGUUUAGAGAAGCCCUUUCAGUAUUUCUUUUAGCCUGGGUUUUGUAUUGCUGCAUUCUUUUAGCUUUUGUUUGUUGGAAAAAAUUUUUAAUUCCCCUUCUAUAUUAAAUGACAUUCUUGCUGGAUAGAGUAUUCUAGGUGCAUAUUUUUUCCUUUUAGCACUUUAAAUAUCUCUUGCCAUUCCCUCCUGGCCUGUAGUUUCUGUAGAGAAAUCAGCUGAUAAUCUUAUGGGGGUUCCCUUAUAGGUCACAUUCUGCUUUUCUCUUGCUGCCUUUAGGAUCCUCUCUUUAUUAUUAACUUUUGCCAUUUUUAUUAUACUGUGUCUUGGUGUGGGUCUAUUUGGGUUCAACUUGUUUGGGGCCCUCUGUGCUUCCUGUAUCUUGAACUCAGUAUCCUUUUAGAUUUGGGAAGUUUCCAGCAAUAACUUCUUGAAAUAUAUUUUCCAUCCCCUUAUCUUUUUCUACUCCUUCUGGAAUUCCUAUUAUGCAUAGAUUGGCCCGCUUUAUAUUAUCCCAUAGGUCUCUUAUAUUGCUUUCAUGUUUUUUCAUUUGGUUUUCUGUCUGCUGUCCUGAUUGGGUGAUUUCCAUUAUUCUAUCUUCCACAUCACUAAUUUGUUCUUCUGCAUUAUUCAUUCUAGUUUUCACUGCCUUUAGUUCAGUUUGUAUCUCUGCAAAUGAAUUUUCUAGUUUUUCUUGGCUCCUCCUUAUAUUUUCUAGUUCCGUUCUGAGGGCAUCUGCAUUACUGUUCAUAUCUUAAUUCCUUCGUAUUUUCACUAUUUCCCUUUUGAACUCCAAGUCUGUCAGACUGUAGAGGUCUGUUUCAUUGUUGACUGCUUUAGGUGAGUUCUCCUGUUGAUUUAACUGGGGGUGGUUUCUCAGCUGCUUCAUCUUGCUUGUUGUUUUCUUUUUCUUGGUGGAGUUGUACUCCCCGUGGCCGUGCAGGGUUUGCCUUGGCACUGCUAUGGAGUGUUUCCCGAGGGCUGGAAUUGUUGGUCGGUUUUCUUUGAGGCAGUGUGGCUUUUCCUGAGGGUGGGCAGGGCUAACAGGGUCUCUCUGAAGCAAAGGAGGACUUCCUGAGGGCAGACAGGACUGGGAGGUCUGUACCGCAAUGGAAGCAGAUUUCACGCUGCCGGGCAGAGCUUGCUCUGGUGUUUUUGGGCUGUGGGGCUCUUCCAGGCUGCUGGUGGUGCUGGGCAGCUGUUCCACAGGAGUGCUGCACCCCCCGCAAGGGCGGGAGCAGCUGGAUGGGCCGCUGAGAACCCAAGGGGCUCUUCUCCAGGGCAGCCAGAAUUGGAAGGACUGUCUUGGAAUGGAGGUAGAUUUUGCACGGCUGGGCCAAGCUUGUUCUAGCUUUUCUGGGCUGUGGGGGCUCUUGCAGGGGGCUGGCAGUGCUGGGCAGCUGUUCCACAGGAGUGCAGCACCCCCCGAGGGUGGGAGCAGCUAGCUGGGCCGCUGAGAACCCAAGGGGCUCUUCCCCAGGGCAGCUGAAUUGGGAGGAAUGCCUCAGAAUGGAGGCAGAUUUUGCAUGGGCAGGCCAAGCUUGUCCUAGCUUUUCUGGGCUGCGGUCCUUUUCCAGGGGGCUGGUGGUGCUGGGUGCUGCUCUGUGGAGGUGAAGGCAGGCCAGGACAGGGCAAGCCCCUGUGGUGGUCAGCUUUCUGCAAAUGGUGAGGCCAGCCCUCCGGAAUGGCAAGCAGUCUCAGGUCCGGCGCGCGAGCAUGGGGUAAGGGGAGAUGCACUGGGAAGCACAGCUUUCUGAUAGCUGGCAGGCAGGUGAGCGGGCUGUGGUGUGGGGAGCAGUCUAUGGCGGCCCACCCCUCCCCCUCCUUCCUCCCCAACACUGGUGCCCUGUCCCUCCUGCAGAUCCAGCUCUUCUCCCAGGUUCCCUCUGAUGUGGCUUUCUGCUCCCCAGCCCUUAGCAUAUUGCUCCCUCCACCCGCGAAGCUCUGCUUUCUAGCCUCCCAGGCAGUCUCUGCCCCGCCAAUCUGACAGACCGCUUCCUAGACCUCCGGGCGACUCUUCCCUCCGACCGACUGGUUCCUAGUUCCCCAAGCAGUCUCCACACCGCCCACCCCAGCCCGUUCCCGGGGAAUAACCUCCUAACCUCUGGAGCCCAAGUCUCAGUGCCCAGCCCCCACCCAAGCGCCUCCGUAGUUCAGAUGAUCGGUUUUCACUCUGCUCUUCAGAUCUCAGACUUACUGCUGCGCUCUUCUCUGCAUCUGGAGAUCCCUCCAAUUCAGUUGAUCUUUCCGUUGAGUAGGUGACUUUCCAGGGUGUGGGAUCCCUUUCUCCUCCACAGUUCCCUUUCGGGAGGGCCCGUCCAGCCCCGAUUCCCCUUCUCUCACUUGCUUUUUCUUGUUUUACCCAGUUAUGUCACGAGAUUCUUGCUGUUAUUGGAGUUUAGGUUCUCUGCCAGCGAUUAUUGCUGUUCUGUGUGAAUCAUUUAACCUGUAGAUGUGUUUUUGUUUGUUGUGUUUGUGGGAGAAGGCGAGCAUGUCCCACUACUCUUCCGCCAUCUUGCCUCUCCUCUGCUUUAACUUUUUCUUCUGCAAAUUCCUCUGCCUAAUUUUAACGCUGAUAAUACCUGAAAGUUUUGGUUUUGGUCUGUUGUUCUAAUUCUGUGUGUUUUCCCUAGAUCAUUCUAGGCGCUCAGUGUUGGUUGGUAUCCUGGCCCCACCAUUAUUGCUCUGUUGCAAUAGGCCAGUUACUUGUAACUCCUCUGAGUUCACCUCCAUCAAAUGGGGAUUAAAAAAUAAGAAAUUAAGGAGUUCCUGUGUGGCUCAGGAGGUUAUAAACUUGACUAGUAUCCAUGAGGACAUGAGUUCAAUCCCUGGCCUCAGUGAGUUAAGGAUCUGGCGUUGCUGUGAACUGUGGUGUACGUUGCAGUUGUGGCUCGGAUCCUGCGUUGCUGUGGCU
This 6366-nucleotide long non-coding RNA is filed under the name Sus scrofa (pig). RNAcentral's name for it is "lncRNA (ENSSSCG00000053489.1)". Lineage: Eukaryota; Metazoa; Chordata; Mammalia; Artiodactyla; Suidae. The record is from RNAcentral.